Long non-coding RNA from Pundamilia nyererei, 311 nucleotides. RefSeq lists it as uncharacterized. The record is from RefSeq and is a predicted model, not a curated record. The transcript has 2 exons. NCBI's taxonomy places the organism in Eukaryota, Metazoa, Chordata, Actinopteri, Cichliformes, Cichlidae.
AGAAAGACCUGCUGACCACUGGAGACCUCAGUCUGACCCUGAAAGACCCCAAAGUGGGAGACAGUGGGAAAUACGGCUGUCAGGUCAACAGCAAGGAGGCCUGGAGAUAUAAGAGGUUGUGGCUCACAGUCACAGGGAAUAAUCAGGCCAAGAAACACACAGAAGACACCAGGAUCAGCUCCACUGAUCAUUUAGUUUGAUAUGAUUGUUCGAUUAUUGAUCUGACCUGUACGAUUUAUACAUUAGUCUAUAUAAAAUGUACACAAGAAUUCAUGAAAUAAAUCCAUUUUUCUCUGCUUACCCAAUUCAGA